RNAcentral lists this unclassified non-coding RNA (1060 nucleotides) under Anthonomus grandis grandis. RNAcentral describes it as "uncharacterized LOC126748345". The record is from RNAcentral. Lineage: Eukaryota; Metazoa; Arthropoda; Insecta; Coleoptera; Curculionidae.
UUGGCGCGAUAUUUAAAUCGGAGAUAAAUAGGAUUACAUAAAUAUUUUUAGUAGUCUUAAGUGAUCGUGUUUAGUGUGUCCGUAUAAAAUAAAUUAGUUUUAAAGCACAAAAAUAGAACUAUUUUUGUGCAUCGAAUGUUUCAAUUCACACCUAACAAACGAAAGUAAUAUUACUACUUCUAGUUAAGGUUGCCAAGUCACAUGCUGAUGAUCUGGUACUAAAUGAACCAAUACAUCCUAGUGUGGUACCCACAUGUCUUAGUAGCUGUUUUUGUUGUUACCAAAUAAAAAAUCAAAAGUUAUAAUAUAUUCUAAGGCUCAUCAACUCAUUGAAGUUCUGACGAGGACCGAUCUUCUGGAGAAAAUCUAAAUAUGUUUGCGCCUCAUAGACCAUUGAGUCGCAGUAAAGGGCUAUCUAAUCAACCUCACUUUAAACCUAACGUACAUUUAACAUCCGACGCUUCAACUGUUCGCCAGCAUUCAAAUAGAAAAACUAUUUUCCAAAAUUUUUGUUUUAGGUGUUCAGGAAACUUCGCCCCUGCGUCCAAUCCAACGUCCAGGAAAAGGGUGAUUUAAAUAUUCAGUCACAUUUCUACUACUGUAGGGCGGAGCAUCGUCAUGUUGUAACCACACUUGUCUUGAUUAAAUUGGAACGUUCUCUAACAAACACAGGCUCACUUCUCGUGAAAGUGAAGCUGCCAAGAAUGGGAUGUAAUUUUAUCGGUGAACAAAAUGUUAUGAACCAAAUUACGACGUGCGGCUCGUUUCACAACUGCAUACGAAAGCUCAGGUCAGUGAGCUGCAGUGACUGGUUGCAGAUGAAAUUGGUACAAAUCAAAGUUAUGCAUUGUUCUCCACACAGUAAUGAUAUUUUGCGAAUAGUGUUACAUUUUGGGCAGCUGCUAGGGACGUAUAAUAGAAGCAUUUGGAAAUUAUCGUAUUGCUUAAAAACUCCUAUAUAUGACACUCUUUAGAGCAAAAAUUAUUAAGUAAAGGACUAAUUAAUGAUUGUAAUUAAUAUAGAAAUGAUUGUAAAGAAAAUAUAUGAUAAUAAAGAAAA